UAUGCUUUCGCCCUAAAAACUCAUUUUGAGUAAUAUAAAUAAAUGGUGUUACUCCUUCUGGCAGUUGAGCCACAUUGCAUUUGUCUUCUUCUGAAUGCAACAUCUUUGGACAAAUGGAUAGGAAUUAGGGUUUUACAAAAGCUUAAUAAUCAUUUUUUGUGUUUCUUAUAUACAUACAUAUACACAAAAAAAGUAUCAUGUGUUUUGUUGUGAAGAAAUAAAA
Molecule: unclassified non-coding RNA, 223 nt
Filed under: Hevea brasiliensis (rubber tree)
Lineage: Eukaryota; Viridiplantae; Streptophyta; Magnoliopsida; Malpighiales; Euphorbiaceae
Source: RNAcentral